Molecule: ribosomal RNA, 436 nt
Filed under: uncultured bacterium
Lineage: Bacteria
Description: partial 16S ribosomal RNA
Rfam family: Bacterial small subunit ribosomal RNA
Source: RNAcentral
GCGCACGCUGGCGGCAGGCUUAACACCUGCAAGUCGCGCGGGCAUCCUUGUGGUGUCAGCGGCAGACGGGUGAGUAACGCGUGGGAACGUGCCCUUCGGUUCGGAAUAACUCAGGGAAACUUGAGCUAAUACCGGAUACGUGCGAGAGCAGAAAGGUUUAUCUGCCGAAGGAUCGGCCCGCGUCUGAUUAGCUAGUUGGUGAGGUUACGGCUCACCAAGGCGACGAUCAGUAGCUGGUCUGAGAGGAUGAUCAGCCACACUGGGACUGAGACACGGCCCAGACUCCUACGGGAGGCAGCAGUGGGGAAUAUUGGACAAUGGGGGCAACCCUGAUCCAGCCAUGCCGCGUGAGUGAUGACGGCCUUAGGGUUGUAAAGCUCUUUUCUCCGGGACGAUAAUGACGGUACCGGAGGAAUAAGCCCCGGCUAACUUCGUG